AGAGUUUGAUCCUGGCUCAGAUUGAACGCUGGCGGCAUGCUUUACACAUGCAAGUCGAACGGUAACAGGCCGCAAGGUGCUGACGAGUGGCGAACGGGUGAGUAAUGCAUCGGAACGUGCCCAGUCGUGGGGGAUAACGCAGCGAAAGCUGCGCUAAUACCGCAUACGAUCUAUGGAUGAAAGCGGGGGACCGUAAGGCCUCGCGCGAUUGGAGCGGCCGAUGUCAGAUUAGGUAGUUGGUGGGGUAAAGGCUCACCAAGCCAACGAUCUGUAGCUGGUCUGAGAGGACGACCAGCCACACUGGGACUGAGACACGGCCCAGACUCCUACGGGAGGCAGCAGUGGGGAAUUUUGGACAAUGGGCGCAAGCCUGAUCCAGCAAUGCCGCGUGCAGGAAGAAGGCCUUCGGGUUGUAAACUGCUUUUGUACGGAACGAAACGGCUCUGGUUAAUACCUGGGGCUAAUGACGGUACCGUAAGAAUAAGCACCGGCUAACUACGUGCCAGCAGCCGCGGUAAUACGUAGGGUGCAAGCGUUAAUCGGAAUUACUGGGCGUAAAGCGUGCGCAGGCGGUUUUGUAAGACAGGCGUGAAAUCCCCGGGCUCAACCUGGGAAUGGCGCUUGUGACUGCAAAGCUGGAGUGCGGCAGAGGGGGAUGGAAUUCCGCGUGUAGCAGUGAAAUGCGUAGAUAUGCGGAGGAACACCGAUGGCGAAGGCAAUCCCCUGGGCCUGCACUGACGCUCAUGCACGAAAGCGUGGGGAGCAA
This 766-nucleotide ribosomal RNA is filed under the name uncultured bacterium. RNAcentral describes it as "bacterial SSU rRNA". It matches the Rfam family "Bacterial small subunit ribosomal RNA", at positions 8 to 771 of the family's 1533-position model. The record is from RNAcentral.